AUUUUGUGUUGUAUAUUAAAUUUAUAGCAUCUGAUAUCAAGUGUUAUUACUGACCAACGUGAUGACCUCUCAGAUCCACAAAACUAGAGGAAAUCAACUACUAGAACAACCAUGAUUGGUAAAAAUAACAGUCUUCUAGCUACAUUUUAGAUAAAGUUAUGAUAGUUAAGCCCACUGCUCCUAAGGUACUACUGAUGUCAUUGAUCUUGUCUUCUGGGAGUUCAACCACCAAAGUGAAGAGACCAACACUAAAAGCCGCAGCAAGAACAGAUUGGCUUAUAUUGCUGGACUCUCGAAGAUCAAGCUACACCCCAAACUGCCUUUCAGAGACGAUGAGCUCAGCUUACACUGAAGUUGAUUUCAGACUUUCCAUCCACUCCUUGAGAAUUGCUGCAUUAGAACUUCUCACUGUGCAAAUCUAAUAGAUUUUCAAAUGGAAAAUGGACACCAUUAACCACUUUACCUGGUUCUUAAGUUUGAAGAAACAGUGAUCUCUUUUAAUUCUGUAAGGAAAAUCAUAUGUAGCAAAUUUGUUUUAAAAAAUGAUAUUUCCUAGUUA
Molecule: long non-coding RNA, 559 nt
Filed under: Fukomys damarensis (Damara mole-rat)
Lineage: Eukaryota; Metazoa; Chordata; Mammalia; Rodentia; Bathyergidae
Description: lncRNA (ENSFDAG00000024150.1)
Source: RNAcentral